Molecule: ribosomal RNA, 253 nt
Filed under: uncultured bacterium
Lineage: Bacteria
Description: partial 16S ribosomal RNA
Rfam family: Bacterial small subunit ribosomal RNA
Source: RNAcentral
UACGUAGGGUGCAAGCGUUAAUCGGAAUUACUGGGCGUAAAGCGUGCGCAGGCGGUUUUGUAAGUCUGUCGUGAAAGCCCCGGGCUCAACCUGGGAAUUGCGAUGGAGACUGCAAGGCUAGAAUCUGGCAGAGGGGGGUAGAAUUCCACGUGUAGCAGUGAAAUGCGUAGAGAUGUGGAGGAACACCGAUGGCGAAGGCAGCCCCCUGGGUCAAGAUUGACGCUCAUGCACGAAAGCAUGGGGAGCAAACAGG